GAGUAACCAAUCUUUGGUAAACCUUAGAUUGUCCUCGACAAUUGUUUAAUCCUUUUAGUCAUAUCCAGUUCUAAACCUUUUCCCUUCUUAAUGCCCCAGGCAUUUGGAAAAUUUUAGAACGGAUGAAUAUAGCACAUGUAAUCGAUCCUAUAUCCGAAGCAUAUGGGACACGAUUCAUGAUGUCUUACAUAAAGACUAAACCAGUCUUUUGCUAUAAUAUUUCCAUUUCAAUUUGCCAAGUUCUCAUAAUUCAGAUUAUGAAAAGGGAUGCCGUAAUCAUAAUCGAAUUUUAGAACGCAAAUAAUGGACCCAUAUACAGAAUUUCCUUAUGUUGAGCCAUUCCAACAUGAAAUUCAUAUAUAUCCUUGACUAAAUGAUUAAAACCUCACGAUCUAAGCUUAUAGAUUUGAGAUGAAGCAUAAUUUCCUCUCCCUUAAUUAUAGCAAAACAACUUUUUCCCAAUUGAAACUUUUGUUUUCUAUAAUUAACAUUGCUAACUUGCAAUACUUAUCAUAAUUAUCAUGCUCCCACUAACAUGAUGAUUAUUAGCAUAACACUUAUGCUCCCACUAGCUUUGACAUGUACUCAGAAAUCAGCUGGACAGUCUGAAAUUUAGAUUCAUACACCCUUUCCGUAGAUAGCUCACCUGUGUGUCUAAGCAAUUUCAAGAACCAUGAAAAGGGAUACCGUAAUCAUGGUCUCAAUUGCUUAGGCAUUUGCCAUUUCUCACAAGUCCAUGUUAGUGUGCCGGUUAACCACACGCGCUCCACUAACGACUUUUGAAAAUGCAAAUAACACAAUUGAUAUCUUCGUAAAAUCUACUUAGUGAAAGCGUUUCCUCACCAUCAUUUUCAUGAAUCGGAGAGAAACCUUAUGACACUUAGAUUUAUAUGGUGUAUGAGUUCCUACCCAUAUGAAUUUGUCAAACCAUAAUCACAAGACAAAGAUAAUGACAAAUCCAAAACCAUAUGGAUUGAACUCAAUCUUAACUUCUUGCCACCUGGCAGCUCAAGGGCCUGCCAUUGCUUCCAAGUUGUUAUGCAACAAACUGAGAACUCUAAGAACUCAUAUGCAAAGCCAACUUUAACUGGAAUGGGCACAGAUAUGUCAACACGAUAGGUUAUAAACCUCAAGUCGUGUGCUAGUGAAGAACUUUAGGUUUUAUUCUUGAUUAUUUCUUGAGACUUUCAAGACCUUUAAGACUCCCACUGUCCUCUUGACAUAUAAGACUCCCUUGUCAAACAUCCAAGAGAUAGUGCGGAUUCUAAUCAAGAAAAACACUUUACCCAAUUGGCCUAAGUUGGUCUUUGUUUUAUCCAAAACAUCACAACUUACCAAUUUCAAAUGUACAAGAGUAGAAAACUUUUACUCUUACAUUUGACAAGUGUUUUAAACCUUCUUUAAGACAUGUCACUCAAAUGACAAUCUUGGAGUAUGACUCUAAGACUUGUAUUGGAACGAAGUAUGACUCAUCUUCUUGAUUUAACCAUUUCAACAAUUCAAGUUCCUCUUCUUAGUCAUAAGAAUGCACUAAGAUUUCCUUAGAGAACUAAUUUUGAUAUGGUUUCUUAAUCAUUAAGAUGAUCACAAAACUGAUACUAAAGUACUCUCCCAUCUUUUCAGAUUUGAGAAACUUUUAUCCUUCUGCCUUAUUUGAUUCUUCUUAUCGAUCUUUAGUGGUGGACUUAAUCAGUGCACAAGAAUGUGUACUCGAUCCCUAAGUCCUUUACUUGACUCACACAUCCAUGUGAACAAGUAAUUAGUCUUAAUUUUCCAAAACUUGAAAGUUCUCAUUCAUCAUGCUAUACAACUUGCAUGAUUCCAAGUUCCGGUCCAAUUGAAACUUGGGUGAUGAGAAUCUUUCCUUAUUUGGUAAAUUUAGACAUUACCACAAAUGAAAGAAUCAAUUUCAUAUUUCCACUCUUGCUCUUAAUGGAAUCAUAUAAGCAACAAUUUUUCCUCAAAUGCCAUUGUAAGGAUAUUUUAAAAUAAAUAAAAUAAAAAAUUUUCUUUUAUUUUAAAACUUUGCGGAAAAACUUAUCCUUACAAUCCAUAUGAAAACUUGUUGUUAUCUAUUCCUAAGCAAUAUCUCAUAACUCCUAAGAAGUAGCUCAAGAAUCCGAUCUUCAAACUAUGCGAUAGAAAUCCAUCUACGCCAUCAGAUUCAGCAUAUUCUUUCUUUAAGUUUCUUCACUUUUCUUUGAUUCUUAAAACAUCACCAUGUGACCCAGUCACAUCAUGUAUCAAGAAUCUCAGAAUAGAAACUUAACAGAGUUAGAUAGUGGACUUUACCUGAAGUAGAGUCAAACUUAUUGACUUUAACAUCCUUAGGUAAAUUUGGCAGCUUCGCAACCAAUGCCCCUUCCUUUGGCAAUAUAAACAUAUGGACCCUUUGAUAAUGGUACACAGGACUAUCACAGACUUAGCUUUUCUCUUUACCAUUUGGUCAACCGAGUUGACUAUGGCCGAUCCCUUUCCAUUGGGAAGAGAAUGCUUUACUGGAUAUCCAAUGUCAUCAUUGUCAAUGUCCAUAAAGUUUUAGGAAGUUGAUCUUAGCAAAUAGAUAAGAUCAUUAAGGGUCUUGUCAUAGUCUGUUUCAUAGGUGUCCCAAAGGAACUCACUAUGUGACUUAGAAAGUGGUUGAACCACCAACUUUCUCAAGACUUUGACACCCAACUCUCCCGGCUUGUCAAUAUGUGACUACAUCUCCAAGAUGUGACCACACCUAGACCUUGCCUUGCUAAUAGGGCCUGAGUGACCUUAAACUUUUCAAGAACUUGUGGGUUAGGGAGAAUAAUUUGAAGAGGUGAAGAAGUAUGAUAUCCAUGGGACAUCAUCUUCAUUAGGAAACCUUGUUUCAAGAGAUUUGGGAAGAUCAUAGGUGUCUAAACCAGACAUCUUUUGGGAGAUAUUCAAGAUAGUUGAUUUAAAGUCCUUAAUAUGACACCCAAUAUGAAAUAUUAAGGCUAGGACCCAACAAACUAUUUUAUAACUUAGAAGAGGUAUGCCGUAAUCCAAGCUAUAAAAUAUUUGAAGGUAGGUGAAUGACGAUUCACCAAUUUCCACCAAGAUAAACGAAAUGUAUUAUUAGGUUUUAAUUGGUUUUGAAACUCCUAGAUCUUUGAGAUUCAUUGAACUUUUCAAAGGCAUGUUUCAAUCUCGAGUGUGCCCUUCAGGUUUUGUGACUGGGAUGCCGAGGAUCACAAAACAAGGUGUGAAGUAACCAUGCAAAUCACUUGGUACCCUUAAUAAAUUACCCCUCAAUCGAUGUGCCGGUUAACCACACACGCUCCAUCGAUACUAUGAUAAAUAUUAAGUCACCCUUUACCUACCUUGUUAAGUCCAAGUUAGUGUGCCGGUUAACCACACACGCUCCACUAACGACUUAGACAAAGUGUAAAGUGUAAUUUCAUGGAUUAGCACCUUAUUCACAUUUUUCCUAAGUAACUAAGAUUGGGUAUUAUUAAGAGUUUAGUUACUUAGUAUUAUCAUUAAUACUUUUAAUGAAGGGAGAAUUCUAGUCCUGUCAAACCCGUUCGGCUAACGACCCUCCACCAGUCAAGCAAGCGGUGGGUGAGAGUGGACACCCAUUAAGUUGCCAUUUUAUAGGCAACAACCUUAUACCCACCUUAUAGACCGGCUUCGUGAAUGAGGCGUACUAGCGGUAAGACUGACUUUACUCUUAUACAUAUAUAUAUUAUUAACUUAUAAUAUUAUAAAGUAUAAGGGUUGAAUUUUAACUUUUAAAAUUCUAAGGGCUAACUUGGAAUUAAAGUAUUCAUAAGAGAAAACUUUACAAAUUCCAAAACUUGAGGGCAAGUUUUGAAACUAUUCAAAACUAAUUAAUUCCAUGAUUUAUGUGUUUAAAGUAGUUUUAAUCCAAAAACUCUUCAAGUUCCAUAACUUGAGGACAAGUUAUGGAAGACUUUAAACUAAUAAAAGAAUUAACUUUUCUUUAUUUUAUAACUUAUGGAAUUAAUUAAGGUUACACUUUUUUUUUUUUAUUAUUUAAUGAAGAGACUCUUGGUCCUCCAUAACUUGAGGACAAGUUAUGGAGUCAUAAAACCAUUUAAUUAGAACUAGACUCUUCAUUUUGUAACCUUUGCCAACUUUUAUGAGUUUUAUGAAACUUAAAUGUGACUUUUCAUAUAACUUGAGGACAAGUUACAAAAACACAUUUUAGAAUCAACUCUUAGAUUAAUUUGGAUUGAAAACAACUAUUUCACUCAACUUUUCUAUUAAUCUAAGCAACUCAUAAGAACAAGAUAAUUCAAAUCAAACUUUUUCAUGUAAUUAGUCUAAACCUUAAACUAAUACAAAACAUGAAUCUAUUGACAAUUAUCUUUGAAAUUGGAUUAGCAUGAACAUUACCACAUCAAAAACAAGUUUAUAAGUUCAAAAACAUCUUAGGGUAAUGUUCCUAGUCCAAUUCCAGCCCAAAAAGUCGAAUUUAUGUUGUCUGGGGGUCCAACUCAUCGAGUACAUGAACGAACUCGGCGAGUUGGAUUGAUUUGAUCACUUUUUAGGUAUGGACUCGCCGAGUCUCUUGAUUGACUCGUCGAGUCUGAUGAUCAGACAGCAACAAUUUCGAUUUUUUAAGCUUCUUUUGCUAGUAUAACAAGAAGACAAGCCUAGGCUUUGAUACCAGUAUUGGAUUUUGAGCAUUCUAACACUCCUAAGUGUACAUGCAACCCUAAAUACCUUGGAUCUAUGUUUUCUCUAUUAUACAUGCAAAUAAGAACUUCCAAGGUAUUAUCCUAAUCUAGCAUACAAAACAAUGAGUGUAACAAGAUAGAAUACAUACCUCUUAGAUGUAGAAAGUCUUUAUGAAGCUUGAGUGCCUAGUGCCCCAAGUGUGACACCUCAAAUGGUUCACACAACACCAAAUACACUUGGAAUAACUUGAGAGAAAUCUACACUUCAUGAAAUCGACUAGCCCUUCUAUUACACACACUAGUGGCCGAUUUUUGUCAAGAAUAGAUCUUUAUAUAGCGUUACAAUUAGGGUAAACCCUAAUUGUCAUGAAUUUCCAUUUCCUUGGAUCCAUGGGUUCAAAUACACCAUGGAGCAUCCAUGGACCAUCCUAUGGCUUUUAGCCCAACUUGAUUACCCAUGGAGUAUUAGCCCACUAUACAAGUAUGGAUGAUUUACACAAUCAACCCAUAUAUUUAAUUAGUCUUCUUUUGAUCACUUAAUUAAUCCUAGAUUAAUUAUUGAUCAAUACUAAUUAAAUAAUCUUAUUAUUCUUAUUAUUAAUAUACUAGAACUUAUAAUAUAUUAAUAACCAUAAGUGUCUUAUUUCUAUCAUUAUAGUCUAUCCAAGUGCAUGAUGCCAUGUAACCCAAAUGGACCAUGCCGGGUCGGGUCAAGUCUUACCAAUUAUAGUUAUGGACUUAGACAUUAAUCCAACAUACUUGGUGUAUGCAAGCCGUAUAUAAUUGAGGUUGUCAGGAUGUUCAGUUGUGCGACUCCACCCCAGCCCCACACCCAACGAGGAACAGGGAGUAGGGAGGAAGCACACAUCUUAAAUCUUUUUAAUCUCAAUUAUAUACCACCCUUAUGCAUAUACUCAGUUAUAGUGAUCAGUCCCAUGAGUUCUAUCCUCUUGAUUCACAAACUCGAUUGCGAGGUGCGAAGGGUAUUUCUGGGGGACCUACGGAGUAUGCUUCGGGUGGUUAUCGUCUUUUGGAAUACUUGCAGUGUCUUUCGCUUCGGUUUCUAUCUGUCUGAGAAGUGUUGGUUAAUAGCGCGUGGUACCCUUCUCUUGGGUACUUCGGAAGGUUGGAGAUGAGGGACGACUGACGGAUCACAUUAGGUUUUAUUAUCUUUAUUAUGUUUAGGUUCGGAAGUGUAGGGUUUUGAGCAAUCUAACACUCCUAAGUGUACAACCCUAAAUACCUUGGAUCUAUGUUUUCUUUAUUAUACAUGCAAUUAUGAACUUUCCAAGGUAUUGUUCUAUUCUAGCAUACAAAACUUUGAAUAACACAAGUUAGAAUAACAUACCUUUUGUUGGUGCUUGUCUUCAUGAAGAUUGAGUGCCUAGUGCCCCAAGUGUGACACCUCAAAUGGUUCACACAACACCAUAAGCACUUGGAAUAACUUAGAGAGAAAUUAGAACACUUCAAGAAUCGGAUAGCCCUCCAUGCAUAUCAUAGCCACCGAUUUUCCCAAGAAAGAGAUCAUUNNNNNNNNNNNNNNNNNNNNNNNNNNNNNNNNNNNNNNNNNNNNNNNNNNNNNNNNNNNNNNNNNNNNNNNNNNNNNNNNNNNNNNNNNNNNNNNNNNNNAAUAAUGGACCCAUAUACAGAAUUUCCUUAUGUUGAGCCGUUCCAGCAUGAAAUUCAUAUAUAUAUUAUUAACUAAAUGAUUAAAACCUCAUGAUCUAAGCUUAUAGAUUUGAGAUGAAGUAUAAUUUCCUCUCCCUUAAUUAUAGCAAAACAACUUUUUCCCAAUUGAAACCUUUUGUUUUCUAUAAUUAACAUUGCUACUUUUAACCUUUAUCAUAGUUAUCAUACUCCCACUAACAUGAUGAUUAUUAGCAUAACACUUAUGCUCCCACUACCUUUGACAUGUACUCAGAAAUCAACUGACUUUCUUACUCUAGUUCAGAUUUCUGAUACGAGAUUGUUUUGAUAAGACUUUAUCAAAAUCAUACACCUUCCAUUAGAUAGCACACUU
Molecule: long non-coding RNA, 6675 nt
Filed under: Lactuca sativa (garden lettuce)
Lineage: Eukaryota; Viridiplantae; Streptophyta; Magnoliopsida; Asterales; Asteraceae
Description: long non-coding RNA (LSAT_LNC010039)
Source: RNAcentral